AAUGCACGCUGCCACCGGACCGGGGGGUCUGUGGCGAACACGGUCGUUAGGGCGGUGACCUGGUCGUCAGGGGGGUGACCUGGUCGUCAGGGGGGAGACCUGGUCGUCAGGGGGGAGACCUGGUCGUCAGGUGGGAGACCUGUUGGAGGACAGCCUUAUGAGGAGGCUCUGUGACACCAGAGCCUCUCCUGGCAGCUCUCCACCCUCCGUCGCUACAUGGAGCUCAGGGAGAGCUGCCAGCGGUGCUCUGCAUGUCAUCACACAGGGCUGCUCACAAACACAGACCACGGAAUGCCCACAGGCAUGCCCGUACGCGCACAAACGCACAACGCGCGCACACGCACUGUGCUCCAGUGUUGUGCUCCACUCCACUCCCCCCCUCCCCCCCCCCCCCCUGGACAAUCGAUUCGUUGAGAGCCAGAAAUAAUGCAACAAGAGAAACAUGAUAUUGACGGUUUGCAACAACGUUAAUCAUUAUGGUUUGAGCUUUGUUGGGGACCGGGGUGUGUGUGUGUGUGUGUGUGUGUGUGUGUGUGUUAUUAGAGACCAGUGUGUGUGUGUGUGUGUGUGUGCAUGUUAGGGACUAGUGUGUGUGUGUGUUUGUGUUAGAGACCAAUGUGUGUGUUUGUGUUAGUGUGCGUUUGUGUGUUAGGGACCAGUGUUAGUGUGUGUGUGUGUAGGGACCAGUGUGUGUGUUUGUGUUAGGACCAGUGUGCGUUUGCGUUAAAGACCAGUGUGCGUGUUUGUGUUAGUGUGCGUGUGUGUGUUAGGGACCAGUGUGCGUGUCUGUGCUAGUGUGCGUGUGUGUGUUUGGGACCAGUGUACGUGAUGGUGAUAGUGUGUGUGUGUGUGUGUGUGUGUGUGUGUAUUUCCUCCCAGCGCCGCCAAAGAGCAAUGGAAAGUGGCUCCUGGUUUGGGUUUCCUGGUUAUGUAAUCCUUUUCCCUGGGCACUGUCUGAACUCUAGAGUUUCCACUGCGCCUGAUUCAGCACAAAGGCCCUGUUCUCUGUGUGGCUGGCUGCCACAACCUGUUGACCGACUGCACACAUCAGCUGGCCCCGCCCCUCAACACAGUCCAGGGCCUGUCGCCACACUGUCACACAUCUGGAACUACUCACAGAACUUCCUGGCUUUAAUAUAUACUAUGUCUGAUGUGCAGGUGUCCUUUACUGAUUGUGUGUGUGUGUGUGUAUGUGUGUGUGUGUGUGUUUGUGUUUUUUUAUCUUGAUCACUUCAUUAGGUUUACUUUGACAUAUUUACUCCGUUCUGUUAAGACAGUUUGUUCUGUUAGGACGCAGUUUGUUCUGUGAGGACGCAGUUUGUUCUGUGAGGACGCAGUUUGUUCUGUGAGGACACAGUUUGUUCUGUUAGGAUAGAGUCUGUUAGGAUAGUCUGUUAGGACACAGUUUGUUCUGUGAGGACACAGUUUGUUCUGUUAGGAUAGAGUCUGUUAGGAUAGUCUGUUAGGACACAGUUUGUUCUGUUAGGACACAGUUUGUUCUGUUAGGACACAGUUUGUUCUGUUAGGACACAGUUUGUUCUGUUAGGAUAGAGUCUGUUAGGAUAGUCUGUUAGGACGCAGUUUGUUCUGUUAGGACGCAGUUUGUUCUGUUAGGACGCAGUUUGUUCUGUUAGGAUGCAGUUUGUUCUGUUAGGACACAGUUUGUUAUGUUAGGACACAGUUUGUUGUGUUACUGUCCUCUGUUAGGAAGCAGUUUGUUCUGUUAGGAAGCAGUUUGUUCAGUUAGGACGCAGUUUGUUCUGUUAGGAUAUUUGUUCCGUUACGCCGCACGGUUGACAAAAGAAGCCGGUUAUCGCCCGGUUAAUCUUUCCAUUGGCGGCAACUCUCGUGUUUCAAAUUAUAAGCUCGCUGUUCAGCCGCCCCUACUCUGGACAAAAUGUUGUCCUCAAUAAUUUAUGUCCACGCCGUGCAGAGAUACGGUGGUUCUGGGUCCUGUCUGCGGAGUGGUAAUGACGAUGUUCUCACU
Gadus macrocephalus (Pacific cod) is the source of this 1987-nucleotide long non-coding RNA. RefSeq lists it as uncharacterized. The record is from RefSeq and is a predicted model, not a curated record. The transcript has 3 exons. Lineage: Eukaryota; Metazoa; Chordata; Actinopteri; Gadiformes; Gadidae.